UCCCUGUUACCAGGGCAGUCUGAAUAGAAAAAUACAACUAUUCAUAAGGGUUGCGCUCGUUGAUGGACUUAACCAAACAUCUCACGACACGAGCUGACGACGGCCAUGCAGCACCUGUCACUGUGCUCAAUAAAGCACUCUCGCCUUUCGGCAAGAUUCACAGGAUGUCAAGUCUGGGUAAGGUUCUUCGCUUACCAUCGAAUUAAACAACACGCUCCACCGCUUGUGCGGGUCCCCGUCAAUUCCUUUAUGUUUUAGCCUUGCGGCCGUACUCCACAGGCGGGAUGCUUAACGCGUUAGCUUCGCUACUGAAGGGGUCGAUACCUCCAACAGCUAGCAUCCAUAGUUUACGGCGUGGACUAC
This 363-nucleotide unclassified non-coding RNA is filed under the name uncultured bacterium. RNAcentral describes it as "contains 16S-23S intergenic spacer region". The record is from RNAcentral.